GACGAACGCUGGCGGCGUGCCUAAUACAUGCAAGUAGAACGCUGAAGGAGGAGCUUGCUUCUCCGGAUGAGUUGCGAACGGGUGAGUAACGCGUAGGUAACCUGCCUGGUAGCGGGGGAUAACUAUUGGAAACGAUAGCUAAUACCGCAUAACAGUAGAUGUUGCAUGACAUUUGCUUAAAAGGUGCAAUUGCAUCACUACCAGAUGGACCUGCGUUGUAUUAGCUAGUUGGUGAGGUAACGGCUCACCAAGGCGACGAUACAUAGCCGACCUGAGAGGGUGAUCGGCCAAACUGGGACUGAGACACGGCCCAGACUCCUACGGGAGGCAGCAGUAGGGAAUCUUCGGCAAUGGACGGAAGUCUGACCGAGCAACGCCACGUGAGUGAAGAAGGGUUUCGGAUCGUAAAGCUCUGUUGUAAGAGAAGAACGAGUGUGAGAGUGGAAAGUUCACACUGUGACGGUAUCUUACCAGAAAGGGACGGCUAACUACGUG
This 495-nucleotide ribosomal RNA is filed under the name uncultured bacterium. RNAcentral describes it as "partial 16S ribosomal RNA". It matches the Rfam family "Bacterial small subunit ribosomal RNA", at positions 28 to 507 of the family's 1533-position model. The record is from RNAcentral.